UCGCCUGUUUAUCAAAAACAUAGCCUAAAGAAUCUAUUAUUUUAGGUAAAACCUGCCCAGUGAAAAACUUUCAACGGCCGCGGUAUCCUGACCGUGCAAAGGUAGCAUAAUCAUUUGUCUUAUAAUUUAAGACUUGUAUGAAUGGUUAAACGAAAUAAUUUCUGUCUCUUUUAUUUUAUAAAAUUACAACUAAAAGUGAAAAUGCUUUUAUUUCUAAAAAAGACAAGAAGACCCUAUAGAGCUUUAUUUUUAUAAAAAAUAAAAUUUUGCUGGGGCGGCAAGAAAAAUUUACAAACUUUUCUUUUUAAUUGAUUAAUAAAAUCUUAAGAUCCUUCUGGAAAAUAAGAAAAAGCUACCUUAGGGAUAACAGACUAAUUUUAAUUAAGAGUUCAAAUCGAAAUUAAAGAUUGGCACCUCGAUGUUGGCUUAGGAUUUUUUCUUUUUGUAACCGAAAAGAUAAAUGGUUUGUUCACCCAUUAAACUCCUACAUGAUCUGAGUUCAAACCGGAGAGACAUCCCGAUGGUGCAGCCGCUAUUAAAGGUUCGUUUGUUCAACGAUUAAAGUCCUACGUGAUCUGAGUUCAAACCGGAGA
RNAcentral lists this ribosomal RNA (593 nucleotides) under Syllides sp. 1 MTA-2011. Its description in RNAcentral is "partial 16S ribosomal RNA". It matches the Rfam family "Bacterial large subunit ribosomal RNA", at positions 1796 to 2622 of the family's 2925-position model. The record is from RNAcentral. Lineage: Eukaryota; Metazoa; Annelida; Polychaeta; Phyllodocida; Syllidae.